Molecule: long non-coding RNA, 1229 nt
Filed under: Anas platyrhynchos platyrhynchos (common mallard)
Lineage: Eukaryota; Metazoa; Chordata; Aves; Anseriformes; Anatidae
Description: lncRNA (ENSAPLG00000023511.1)
Source: RNAcentral
CUGCCUUAGAAGGAUGAAAGGUUGAGGCAGCUCUGUGAGCAUUUGACACUGAGUCCAGGAAUCUAAUUUUGUCCAGCCUGAUGAUGAGACUCUUAAAUCAUCCCCUCUGGCCUUUUAAUUAAAGCAAUCGGGCACAAAACUGGCAGCAGAACCACUAAUGGAGAGCAUUUCCAGCUGAGGCUGAAAAUUUAAGAUGAAAAGAUGGUGUGGAGCACAGGAGAAACAACUCUAUCUUUCUUGUGAUCUUGAGAUGGUAAGAGAAGCCGUCAACCUACAGCCUGCUGGGAAGGAGCUAGAGGUUGUGUGAUGCCACAGAGCAGGAGAGGAGCAGAAGUUCACAGUUAGUGAUCAGUGGUGGUGUAAUGCCCUAGACUCUGGACUCAGUGCUGAAGGAACCCUGGACAUUUCUGGCAUUGGGUAUCAUCUUACUUUACCAUGUGACUAGAGAAAAAAGGAGCAGAAGCUAAGUAUGUCAAAGGAAAUCACUGAAAGAUUACAAAGGUAGUGAAGAAUGAACAUACUGAACCACCAUCAGGUUGGCCUUGGAUCUGCCUCCCCGCUCCUGGAUGUCUGGGUAAGAACUGUGCUGUCUGACCCUGACCAGUCUCUGGACUCGAUCCUUACCCAGACUUGCUUUGCAUCCUGCUUCUUGGUCAGUGGGCUCACUGAUUUCACUGGAACCACGGUCAUGUUCAGCUCAUAAUUCAUCUUCCCAUGCAGAGCAGCCAGCCCUCACUGUUCCUGAAAACCAUCGAGUACAAGCUAUCAAAGUCAGUCAGUUUGGAAGUCUGAGCCAAUGAUGCCUUUGUUGUUUGAGCUGAUGGUGACUUUGUUGUAGAUGAUAAACACGAAGCUCUGACAUCUCUAAUAUGAGGGAUGAACUAUCACAUCGCUAUAUCCACCAUCAGCUGCAUUUGGAAAUGGAUCCAGGUAGGAGGUUAAAAACCAUGAUUUGAAACCAUGGCUACAAGUACCAGUAAGCAUGAUUUUUUGUUUUGUUUUUAGAGGGUGUUUUUUAGGUUUCUGUGGUAGAUCUGGACUGAAAGGUAAAACAAAAUGAAUAGUUUGGAAAGACCAUUAUCCACAUGGUAAAUGGGUAUUUCUGACUUAGUGAUUACUCUGACAAAAGUUUACUCUGCUAUAUAAGCAGUUGUUAUCAUCACAGAGCUUCUGUGAUGGCAUAUAAUGUGCUGAAUAAAGCAUGUUACACUGUGGAAGAGCUUUGAGAU